This 497-nucleotide ribosomal RNA is filed under the name uncultured bacterium. RNAcentral describes it as "partial 16S ribosomal RNA". It matches the Rfam family "Bacterial small subunit ribosomal RNA", at positions 28 to 507 of the family's 1533-position model. The record is from RNAcentral.
GAUGAACGCUGGCGGCGUGCCUAACACAUGCAAGUCGAGCGAACAGACGAGGAGCUUGCGCCUCUGACGUUAGCGGAGGGCGGGUGAGUAACACGUGGAUAACCUACCUAUAUGACUGGGAUAACUUCGGGAAAGCGGCGCUAAUACCGGAUAAUCUCUUGAACCGCAUGGGGCAAUGGUGAAAGACGGUUUUGCUGGCAGUUCUAGCUGGAUCCGGGCGGCAUUAGAUAGUUGGUAGGGUAACGGCUUACUAAGGCGACGAUGCGUAGCCGACGUGAGAGAGUGAUCGGCCGCACGGGAGGGGGGACGCGGUCCAGGCUCCUGAGAGACGCAGCAGUAGCGAAUCUUCCGCAAUGGGCGAGAGCAUGACGGAGCAACGCCGCGUGAGUGGUGGAGGUCUUCGGAGCGUAAUGCUCGGUUAUUAGUGGAAAACAAAUGUGUAAUUAACCAUGCACUGCGUGACGGUACCUAAUAAAGAAGCCACGGCUAACUACGUG